RNAcentral lists this ribosomal RNA (400 nucleotides) under uncultured bacterium. RNAcentral's name for it is "bacterial SSU rRNA". It matches the Rfam family "Bacterial small subunit ribosomal RNA", at positions 28 to 419 of the family's 1533-position model. The record is from RNAcentral.
GAUGAACGCUAGCUACAGGCUUAACACAUGCAAGUCGAGGGGCAGCAUGAACAUAGCUUGCUAUGUUUGAUGGCGACCGGCGCACGGGUGCGUAACACGUAUCCAAUCUGCCCGUCACUCGGGGAUAGCCUUCUGAAAGGAAGAUUAAUACCCGAUGGCAUGCAUUUCCGGCAUCGGAGAUGCAUUAAAGAUUUAUCGGUGACGGAUGAGGAUGCGUACGAUUAGCUUGUGGCGGGGUAACGGCCCACCAAGGCGACGAUCGUUAGGGGUUCUGAGAGGAAGGUCCCCCANACUGGAACUGAGACACGGUCCAGACUCCUACGGGAGGCAGCAGUGAGGAAUAUUGGUCAAUGGGCGGGAGCCUGAACCAGCCAAGUAGCGUGAAAGGAUGACUGCCCUA